Molecule: ribosomal RNA, 2902 nt
Filed under: Escherichia coli
Lineage: Bacteria; Pseudomonadati; Pseudomonadota; Gammaproteobacteria; Enterobacterales; Enterobacteriaceae
Description: 23S ribosomal RNA
Rfam family: Bacterial large subunit ribosomal RNA
Source: RNAcentral
GGUUAAGCGACUAAGCGUACACGGUGGAUGCCCUGGCAGUCAGAGGCGAUGAAGGACGUGCUAAUCUGCGAUAAGCGUCGGUAAGGUGAUAUGAACCGUUAUAACCGGCGAUUUCCGAAUGGGGAAACCCAGUGUGUUUCGACACACUAUCAUUAACUGAAUCCAUAGGUUAAUGAGGCGAACCGGGGAACUGAAACAUCUAAGUACCCCGAGGAAAAGAAAUCAACCGAGAUUCCCCAGUAGCGGCGAGCGAACGGGGAGGAGCCCAGAGCCUGAAUCAGUGUGUGUGUUAGUGGAAGCGUCUGGAAAGGCGCGCGAUACAGGGUGACAGCCCCGUACACAAAAAUGCACAUGCUGUGAGCUCGAUGAGUAGGGCGGGACACGUGGUAUCCUGUCUGAAUAUGGGGGACCAUCCUCCAAGGCUAAAUACUCCUGACUGACCGAUAGUGAACCAGUACCGUGAGGGAAAGGCGAAAAGAACCCCGGCGAGGGAGUGAAAAAGAACCUGAAACCGUGUACGUACAAGCAGUGGAAGCCUAUUUAUGGGGUGACUGCGUACCUUUUGUAUAAUGGGUCAGCGACUUAUAUUCUGUAGCAAGGUUAACCGAAUAGGGGAGCCGAAGGGAAACCGAGUCUUAACUGGGCGUUAAGUUGCAGGGUAUAGACCCGAAACCCGGUGAUCUAGCCAUGGGCAGGUUGAAGGUUGGGUAACACUAACUGGAGGACCGAACCGACUAAUGUUGAAAAAUUAGCGGAUGACUUGUGGCUGGGGGUGAAAGGCCAAUCAAACCGGGAGAUAGCUGGUUCUCCCCGAAAGCUAUUUAGGUAGCGCCUCGUGAAUUCAUCUCCGGGGUAGAGCACUGUUUCGGCAAGGGGGUCAUCCCGACUUACCAACCCGAUGCAAACUGCGAAUACCGGAGAAUGUUAUCACGGGAGACACACGGCGGGUGCUAACGUCCGUCGUGAAGAGGGAAACAACCCAGACCGCCAGUUAAGGUCCCAAAGUCAUGGUUAAGUGGGAAACGAUGUGGGAAGGCCCAGACAGCCAGGAUGUUGGCUUAGAAGCAGCCAUCAUUUAAAGAAAGCGUAAUAGCUCACUGGUCGAGUCGGCCUGCGCGGAAGAUGUAACGGGGCUAAACCAUGCACCGAAGCUGCGGCAGCGACGCUUAUGCGUUGUUGGGUAGGGGAGCGUUCUGUAAGCCUGCGAAGGUGUACUGUGAGGUAUGCUGGAGGUAUCAGAAGUGCGAAUGCUGACAUAAGUAACGAUAAAGCGGGUGAAAAGCCCGCUCGCCGGAAGACCAAGGGUUCCUGUCCAACGUUAAUCGGGGCAGGGUGAGUCGACCCCUAAGGCGAGGCCGAAAGGCGUAGUCGAUGGGAAACAGGUUAAUAUUCCUGUACUUGGUGUUACUGCGAAGGGGGACGGAGAAGGCUAUGUUGGUACGGGCGACGGUUGUCCCGGUUUAAGCGUGUAGGCUGGUUUUCCAGGCAAAUCCGGAAAAUCAAGGCUGAGGCGUGAUGACGAGGCACUACGGUGCUGAAGUAACAAAUGCCCUGCUUCCAGGAAAAGCCUCUAAGCAUCAGGUAACAUCAAAUCGUACCCCAAACCGACACAGGUGGUCAGGUAGAGAAUACCAAGGCGCUUGAGAGAACUCGGGUGAAGGAACUAGGCAAAAUGGUGCCGUAACUUCGGGAGAAGGCACGCUGAUAUGUAGGUGAAGCGACUUGCUCGUGGAGCUGAAAUCAGUCGAAGAUACCAGCUGGCUGCAACUGUUUAUUAAAAACACAGCACUGUGCAAACACGAAAGUGGACGUAUACGGUGUGACGCCUGCCCGGUGCCGGAAGGUUAAUUGAUGGGGUUAGCGGUAACGCGAAGCUCUUGAUCGAAGCCCCGGUAAACGGCGGUACCGUAACUAUAACGGUCCUAAGGUAGCGAAAUUCCUUGUCGGGUAAGUUCCGACCUGCACGAAUGGCGUAAUGAUGGCCAGGCUGUCUCCACCCGAGACUCAGUGAAAUUGAACUCGCUGUGAAGAUGCAGUGUACCCGCGGCAAGACGGAAAGACCCCGUGAACCUUUACUAUAGCUUGACACUGAACAUUGAGCCUUGAUGUGUAGGAUAGGUGGGAGGCUUUGAAGUGUGGACGCCAGUCUGCAUGGAGCCGACCUUGAAAUACCACCCUUUAAUGUUUGAUGUUCUAACGUUGGCCCCUAAUCGGGGUUGCGGACAGUGUCUGGUGGGUAGUUUGACUGGGGCGGUCUCCUCCUAAAGAGUAACGGAGGAGCACGAAGGUUGGCUAAUCCUGGUCGGACAUCAGGAGGUUAGUGCAAUGGCAUAAGCCAGCUUGACUGCGAGCGUGACGGCGCGAGCAGGUGCGAAAGCAGGUCAUAGUGAUCCGGUGGUUCUGAAUGGAAGGGCCAUCGCUCAACGGAUAAAAGGUACUCCGGGGAUAACAGGCUGAUACCGCCCAAGAGUUCAUAUCGACGGCGGUGUUUGGCACCUCGAUGUCGGCUCAUCACAUCCUGGGGCUGAAGUAGGUCCCAAGGGUAUGGCUGUUCGCCAUUUAAAGUGGUACGCGAGCUGGGUUUAGAACGUCGUGAGACAGUUCGGUCCCUAUCUCGCCGUGGGCGCUGGAGAACUGAGGGGGCUGCUCCUAGUACGAGAGGACCGGAGUGGACGCAUCACUGGUGUUCGGGUUGUCAUGCCAAUGGCACUGCCCGGUAGCUAAAUGCGGAAGAGAUAAGUGCUGAAAGCAUCUAAGCACGAAACUUGCCCCGAGAUGAGUUCUCCCUGACUCCUUGAGAGUCCUGAAGGAACGUUGAAGACGACGACGUUGAUAGGCCGGGUGUGUAAGCGCAGCGAUGCGUUGAGCUAACCGGUACUAAUGAACCGUGAGGCUUAACCUU